This 822-nucleotide ribosomal RNA is filed under the name Triticum aestivum (bread wheat). Its description in RNAcentral is "partial small subunit ribosomal RNA". Lineage: Eukaryota; Viridiplantae; Streptophyta; Magnoliopsida; Poales; Poaceae. The record is from RNAcentral.
AUGGCUUCUACUUGCCAUUCCUUCGCCUCUACCUCGCCGGCUCUCGCAGCCACGGUCGCUACGGUAAUUCAUCCUCUAGUUGCAUGUUUUUUGAGCCUCAGGGAAGAUAAGAAGCAUGUGAAAUAUAUUCAGGAACAUGUCGAGGGCAUCAAAGAUUCGUUGUCCCAUAGGAUCAUCGUGAGGAAGAACCGGCUGACGACGGGCAAGGGCAUGGGGUACCUGGAGGCCAAGCACCACCUACUGCUGAGCCACUGCCAGGGCCUCGUCUACUACCUGCUACGCAAGGCCAAGGGGCUGUCUGUCAAUGGCCACCCAGUUGCGCGCAGCCUUGUCGAGAUCAGGCUGUUUCUUGAGAAGAUUCGCCCAAUAGACAAGAAGAUGGAGUACCAGAUCCAGAAGCUCACUAAUGCCGCAGAUGGUGCGGCAGCCCAGGAUAAGGCGCCAGGCGCCAAGUUCAAUGGGAAUGGCGGGCAAGAAGGCGAGGGCGACCUGUUGGGGUACCAGCCAAACCCGGAUAUGAUGGAUAUCAAAAUUGCUCCUAAAGGACACGUCAUUAAUUUCAGUUUACGACCGCCAGCUUUUGACCUUCUGUUUUUGGUCACAAAAAGGUUGCAAAUGAAAAACUAUGACCUUUCAGGGACCAAUAGUGAGGCUAAUGAUGGAGUCGAAUUCCAAAAUUCCAAUCUUAGGUUUGUAAUUCUGGUACAUCAAGGUAUAUCACGCAUGUUCAAAAGUAUCAUAUCAUUAGUAUUUACACAUGGGAUUACUCCCACAAGGGUCAAUCACAACAAGUUAUUUCCAACCAUGCAUUUCUUUUCCUAG